GGGGUUGUGGCCCAGUGGUGCAGCGCUUGCCUAGCAUGCAUGAGGCACUGGGUUCGAUCCCCAGCACCACA
Molecule: transfer RNA, 71 nt
Filed under: Marmota monax (woodchuck)
Lineage: Eukaryota; Metazoa; Chordata; Mammalia; Rodentia; Sciuridae
Description: tRNA.Ala
Rfam family: tRNA
About the family: Transfer RNA (tRNA) molecules are approximately 80 nucleotides in length. Their secondary structure includes four short double-helical elements and three loops (D, anti-codon, and T loops).
Source: RNAcentral